UGAGUUUGAUUCUGGCUCAGGAUGAACGCUAGCGGCAGGCCUAACACAUGCAAGUCGAACGGUAACAUGAAAAAGCUUGCUUUUUUGAUGACGAGUGGCGCACGGGUGCGUAACGCGUAUACAAUCUGCCUUUUACAGGGGGAUAGCCUUUGGAAACGAAGAUUAAUACCCCAUGGUAUAUAGGAGUGGCAUCACUUUUAUAUUAAAGCUUCGGCGGUAAAAGAUGAGUAUGCGUUCUAUUNNNUAGUAGGUGUGGUAACGGCACACCUAGGCAACGAUAGAUAGGGGCCCUGAGAGGGGGAUCCCCCACACUGGUACUGAGACACGGACC
RNAcentral lists this ribosomal RNA (331 nucleotides) under uncultured Bacteroidota bacterium. Its description in RNAcentral is "bacterial SSU rRNA". It matches the Rfam family "Bacterial small subunit ribosomal RNA", at positions 1 to 332 of the family's 1533-position model. The record is from RNAcentral. Lineage: Bacteria; Pseudomonadati; Bacteroidota.